AACAAACGCUGGCGGCGUGCCUAACACAUGCAAGUCGUACGAGAAAGGGUCCUUCGGGACCUGAGUAAAGUGGCGCACGGGUGAGUAACGCGUGGAUAAUCUGCCCUUCAGUUGGGAACAACUCAUCGAAAGGUGGGCUAAUACCGAAUAACACUGUGAGACUUUGGACGAGCAGUCAAAGAGAGCCUCUGCUUGCAAGCCCUCGCUGAAGGAUGAGUCCGCGUACCAUUAGCUAGUUGGCAGGGUAAUGGCCUACCAAGGCGACGAUGGUUAGCUGGUCUGAGAGGAUGAUCAGCCACACUGGAACUGAGAUACGGUCCAGACUCCUACGGGAGGCAGCAGUGAGGAAUCUUGCGCAAUGGGGGAAACCCUGACGCAGCAACGCCGCGUGAGUGAGGAAGGUCUUCGGAUCGUAAAGCUCUGUCAGUUGGGAAGAAAUGCCUGAGGGUUAAUACCCUUCAGGCUUGACGGUACCAACAGAGGAAGCACCGGCUAACUCCGUGCCAGCAGCCGCGGUAAUACGGGGGGUGCAAGCGUUGUUCGGAAUUAUUGGGCGUAAAGAGCGUGUAGGCGGCCGGAUGUGUCAGAUGUGAAAGCCCUGGGCUUAACCCAGGAAGUGCAUUUGAAACUGUCCGGCUUGAGUAUGGGAGAGG
Molecule: ribosomal RNA, 653 nt
Filed under: uncultured Syntrophaceae bacterium
Lineage: Bacteria; Pseudomonadati; Thermodesulfobacteriota; Syntrophia; Syntrophales; Syntrophaceae
Description: bacterial SSU rRNA
Rfam family: Bacterial small subunit ribosomal RNA
Source: RNAcentral